Molecule: ribosomal RNA, 117 nt
Filed under: Vigna radiata var. radiata (mung bean)
Lineage: Eukaryota; Viridiplantae; Streptophyta; Magnoliopsida; Fabales; Fabaceae
Source: RNAcentral
AUGUCGUUCGCUCGCGUCUAAUUCACCGGAUCCCAUCAGAACUCCGUAGUUAAGCAUGCAUGGGCGACAGUAGUACUAGGAUGGGUGACCUCCUAGGAAGUCCUCGUGUUGCACCUC